This 2349-nucleotide long non-coding RNA is filed under the name Marmota monax (woodchuck). The record is from RNAcentral. Lineage: Eukaryota; Metazoa; Chordata; Mammalia; Rodentia; Sciuridae.
UUCACCCAGAAGAGUGUGUAAUUGUGCAGGUCCGCCACUUCCCAGCUAUGUGACCUUGCCUGAGUUACUCAACCUCUCUGAGACUCAGCCUGGGCCUGAAAGAGGCAUGAUAAUAUCAUAAUGCCUCCAAUCUACCUGGUCUGUUGGGAGUUAGAGACUAACGAGUUUCAAGCACUAAGUUGAACGUGAUUGUUGUAGAAGUCAUGGCUUCCCACUCUCCAGAUCAGCUUCCAGACUCCCUGGAGGACAUGCUGCUUAGUCACAGGCAAUGUCACUGGCACCCAGCCCUUGGGAAUCCCAUGCUGCAGGUUACCAGGUCACAGCUGAGUUGGAAAAGGGCAUUGGUCUGAGUCACGUGCCACCCCCCAACAUGCUCUCUCCCAGUGCAAACACCCCAGACUAGCUACUGAGCUCUCUGGUAGGGGGUCCAGUUCUGCUGAACCCCACAGCCCUUUGUCCUGGGCUGCACCUCCCCAGGCAGAUGAAAACAGCAGUUGUCAAGUAUGGCUGUCAAGUUCAGGUAGGAGCGGGCAUCUGAACUGCUGGCACUAUGGCGAAGCCUGGGCCCACCCUGGACCCCAUUCUGCCCACGGAGCUCUCCAAGAGGGAGCCCCAGAGGCACUCAGGGCUCUAAGUCCCACAUCCUUUACCCAAUACAUCUUCCCAGUUACUCAGCGGCCCCCAAGCACAUCCCAACCUUUCCACCCUCUCUCCUGAGUCUGGCUGCCUGGUGUCUUGUCCAAGGAUUCUCACUUCCCAACCCAUCAAUGCCCUUUCUCAUACUUGCCUCAGUGAUGCCUGACUUGACAGAAGCAGCUCAAAUAUCCCCUCCCCAAGCAACCCUCCAUCUGGGGCUCUGCUGGGCCUCCUCCAGGAGCCCUAGAGCCUCCAGCUUCAUCACAGCUUCCUAGAACUAGAACGGUCCUGGAUGACAAGGGAGCCAGCGCAUGAACAGAGUGGUUCAGUAGCAUUGGCCUGGUCCACUCCCAGCCCCAGAAAAGUAAGUGCUGUUGACCUUUUCAUGGUGGGGAGAAGCUGAGACUCAGGGAGGGCAGAGAAUUCAGCCAAGGUGGCACAGCACAUAGGUGGGGGGCCAGGGCGUGUCCUAUAUUUGGUUGUUUCUGCGCAUGUGCUGCCCCGGCCCCUUUGAGACUCAUCAUCUGAGAGAAAGGGGUGGGGGUGCAGGGCAAAUGGGACAGGGUGGCCCUGCAGAGAGCAGGUGGAUGAGGCUCCGACCCUGGGCUCCAGGAGUUAAAGAAAUUUGCUGAAAAUAAGCAGGCACAGGCCAUAGAAGAAAGCAAACUGUCUUCCAUCUAAACUGCUCAAGAGGUUCCCGGUCCAGACCUGCCCACCCACACCUCGGGCGCAGGUGCACUUUGUUCUCCACACCCCCAGUCACGUGCUGCCCAAUGGUUAAAGAUUGGAGGCCACUAGGUGUCCAUUCGUAAGGAAUGGUGCAAUCAGUCAGGAGAAUGUCAUAUGAUGGCACCCUCUGCAGCCAAGAUGGGAGGAGGAAGCCCUCACGGCUCUGAUCAGGAAUCGUUGCCAACAUGCAUUUGAAGUAAAAGAAAAUGCCAGGUGCGUAAUCAGGGAAAUGAAAACCUAACCUCACUUAAUGACGAUUGACCUGGAUCUGUCUGGCAGGUUUAAAAGGUGAUUAAGGGGAACUCUUACCGCAGGCAGGUGUGUGGAAAGUCACCACCACUUUAGAAAACUGAUCAGCAGCAUCUACUGAAGUCACCUGUGCAUUCAUUCCCUAGGACCCUGCCCAGGUCCUGGAGAAGUUCUGACUCAACCCUCACAAACACCAAGUGAGACAACUAGGCUCAUGCAUACCCCUGCUCUGCCUAGAAGCAAAAGCUAGAAAGCAACCCAAAUGUGCUCCAACAAGACGACGGAAAUGAACCCCAGUGUCUCCAUGCCAUGGAAUUCUGUGCAACAGUGAAGAUGGGCUGGGCUGGGUCUCAGUGGUGGAGCGCUCGCCUGGCACGUGUGAGGCCCUGGGUUCCAUCCUCAGCACCACAUACAAGUAAAUAAAUAAAACAAAGGCCACAACUAAGAAAGAAAGAAAGGAAGGAAGGAAGGAAGGAAGGAAGGAAGGAAGGAAGGAAGUAAAAAAGAAAAUGAUCAGUCUGCAGCUUCCUCUCAGCACCCUGAGUCUGGGGACUACAGUCAUGAUUGGGAUAAAAGUCAGAGAGGGCUACCAAAAGGUUGAGGAAGUAUGCAGUAUGUAUUUGCAGCAUUUUAUUAUAUUUAUUAUAUACAGUGCUUAUGUUUAUUAUAUCUACUGAAUGUACUACUUUUUUAUGAUUAUUUGAUUAUAGUAAAUACAUAUUUAUUAUAAUAUAU